UACGUAGGGUGCGAGCGUUGUCCGGAUUUAUUGGGCGUAAAGAGCUCGUAGGCGGUUUGUCGCGUCGGCCGUGAAAUCUCCACGCUUAACGUGGAGCGUGCGGUCGAUACGGGCAGACUUGAGUUCGGUAGGGGAGACUGGAAUUCCUGGUGUAGCGGUGAAAUGCGUAGAUAUCAAGAGGAACACCUGAGGUGAAGACGGGUUGCUGGGCUGACACUGACGCUGAGUGCGCGAAAGCGUGGGGAGCAAACAGG
RNAcentral lists this ribosomal RNA (254 nucleotides) under uncultured bacterium. RNAcentral's name for it is "partial 16S ribosomal RNA". It matches the Rfam family "Bacterial small subunit ribosomal RNA", at positions 524 to 776 of the family's 1533-position model. The record is from RNAcentral.